This 429-nucleotide ribosomal RNA is filed under the name Pseudomonadota bacterium. Its description in RNAcentral is "Proteobacteria bacterium partial 16S ribosomal RNA". It matches the Rfam family "Bacterial small subunit ribosomal RNA", at positions 355 to 776 of the family's 1533-position model. Lineage: Bacteria; Pseudomonadati; Pseudomonadota. The record is from RNAcentral.
UGGGGAAUAUUGGACAAUGGGCGAAAGCCUGAUCCAGCCAUGCCGCGUGUGUAAAGAAGGUCUUCGGAUUGUAAAGCACUUUAAGUUGGGAGGAAGGGCAGUAAGCGAAUACCUUGCUGUUUUGACGUUACCGACAGAAUAAGCACCGGCUAACUCUGUGCCAGCAGCCGCGGUAAUACAGAGGGUGCAAGCGUUAAUCGGAAUUACUGGGCGUAAAGCGCGCGUAGGUGGUUCGUUAAGUUGAAUGUGAAAGCCCCGGGCUCAACCUGGGAACUGCAUCCAAAACAGGCGAGCUAGAGUAGGGCAGAGGGUGGUGGAAUUUCCUGUGUAGCGGUGAAAUGCGUAGAUAUAGGAAGGAACACCAGUGGCGAAGGCGACCACCUGGGCUCAUACUGACACUGAGGUGCGAAAGCGUGGGGAGCAAACAGG